UCUUUUACAGUUCUGCUUAUUCUCAUUCAAGGAGAUUGUGAUCAAACUGCAGGAAGUAAAGAGUGGCCUACUAGAGAUGAGAAAAUAGAAAGGCAUUCCCUGAGAGAAGACUGGUAUCGUGGUUGAAACAUGCUCACAAAAACAUUCUGCAUGACCAGGCAAAGAUGAAGUCAAGAGCAGCAACAAUAAGGAGAACCACUAGAGGAAGAUGAUUUGCGG
Molecule: long non-coding RNA, 219 nt
Filed under: Phasianus colchicus (ring-necked pheasant)
Lineage: Eukaryota; Metazoa; Chordata; Aves; Galliformes; Phasianidae
Description: lncRNA (ENSPCLG00000001317.1)
Source: RNAcentral